This 429-nucleotide ribosomal RNA is filed under the name Pseudomonadota bacterium. RNAcentral's name for it is "Proteobacteria bacterium partial 16S ribosomal RNA". It matches the Rfam family "Bacterial small subunit ribosomal RNA", at positions 355 to 776 of the family's 1533-position model. The record is from RNAcentral. Lineage: Bacteria; Pseudomonadati; Pseudomonadota.
UGGGGAAUAUUGGACAAUGGGCGAAAGCCUGAUCCAGCCAUGCCGCGUGUGUGAAGAAGGUCUUCGGAUUGUAAAGCACUUUAAGUUGGGAGGAAGGGCAGUAAGCGAAUACCUUGCUGUUUUGACGUUACCGACAGAAUAAGCACCGGCUAACUCUGUGCCAGCAGCCGCGGUAAUACAGAGGGUGCAAGCGUUAAUCGGAAUUACUGGGCGUAAAGCGCGCGUAGGUGGUUCGUUAAGUUGAAUGUGAAAGCCCCGGGCUCAACCUGGGAACUGCAUCCAAAACUGGCGAGCUAGAGUAGGGCAGAGGGUGGUGGAAUUUCCUGUGUAGCGGUGAAAUACGUAGAUAUAGGAAGGAAGACCAGUGGCGAAGGAGACCACCUGGGCUCAUACUGACACUGAGGUGCGAAAGCGUGGGGAGCAAACAGG